Mauremys reevesii (Reeves's turtle) is the source of this 587-nucleotide long non-coding RNA. RefSeq lists it as uncharacterized. The record is from RefSeq and is a predicted model, not a curated record. The transcript has 2 exons. NCBI's taxonomy places the organism in Eukaryota, Metazoa, Chordata, Testudines, Geoemydidae.
UGUAGCUGCAGGGAGAAGGAAGGAGCAAGGAAAGGCAGGGGUGUUCCACAAAUGUCUACCUACCUGUGGCCAGCCUGAGUUGCUGGGAAUUGCCAGGUUUUAUGUUAUCUGUGGGAGUGCUAACCCUGGAAGCUGGGUCUCCUGGGAAAACCAUCACAGCUGCUGCUGGCAGUCAGGGUGGUCCUCUGCUGUGAUAUAAUUCUGAAAGGGAUUUCAGGAAAUCCAGGCAGGUGACAAGCUUGACGUCAGCGCCACCCAUUCAGAGCGUUGAAAUCUUCCCUCCACUACCCGGCUCAAAGAUGGAAGGACCCUCUCUAGGGGGGAGAGAACAGCUCAGUCUCCAGACCUAUUCAGUCCUGGAUCUUGCUACCAAGUAAGGCCACUCUACGUGGAGGUACACCUGCUAGCAACGAGACGGAAACAAGCAACUUCUACCUCGAAGAACUUUCCGUCACUACCUUCCUAAGCUGGCUUUGAACCAGUGACUUAGAAGUGAAAAGCCAUCACCAGAUCCCUGGGCGAUCUGAUCCCCUCGACUGUCUUCACUGUUCAGUCUCCAUGUCAUCUUAAAGCUAAUUUCUUUCCUG